GUGGGGAAUAUUGGGCAAUGGGCGCAAGCCUGACCCAGCAACGCCGCGUGAAGGAAGAAGGCUUUCGGGUUGUAAACUUCUUUUACCAGGGACGAAAUAAAUGACGGUACCUGGAGAAUAAGCCACGGCUAACUACGUGCCAGCAGCCGCGGUAAUACGUAGGUGGCAAGCGUUGUCCGGAUUUACUGGGUGUAAAGGGCGCGUAGGCGGGAAAGCAAGUCAGGAGUGAAAUCUAUGGGCUCAACCCAUAAAUUGCUUUUGAAACUGUUUUUCUUGAGUGAUGGAGAGGCAAGCGGAAUUCCUAGUGUAGCGGUGAAAUGCGUAGAUAUUAGGAGGAACACCAGUGGCGAAGGCGGCUUGCUGGACAUUAACUGACGCUGAUGCGCGAAAGCGUGGGGAGCAAACAGGAUUAGAAACCCGGGUAGUCC
Molecule: ribosomal RNA, 428 nt
Filed under: uncultured bacterium
Lineage: Bacteria
Description: partial 16S ribosomal RNA
Rfam family: Bacterial small subunit ribosomal RNA
Source: RNAcentral